GAGUUUGAUUCUGGCUCAGAUUGAACGCUGGCGGCAUGCUUUACACAUGCAAGUCGAACGGCAGCACGGAAGAGCUUGCUCUUUUGGUGGCGAGUGGCGAACGGGUGAGUAACGCAUCGGAACGUACCGAGUAGUGGGGGAUAACUGUCCGAAAGGAUGGCUAAUACCGCAUAUUCUCUGAGGAGGAAAGCAGGGGACCUUCGGGCCUUGCGCUAUUUGAGCGGCCGAUGUCUGAUUAGCUAGUUGGUGGGGUAAAGGCCUACCAAGGCGACGAUCAGUAGCGGGUCUGAGAGGAUGAUCCGCCACACUGGGACUGAGACACGGCCCAGACUCCUACGGGAGGCAGCAGUGGGGAAUUUUGGACAAUGGGGGGAACCCUGAUCCAGCCAUGCCGCGUGUCUGAAGAAGGCCUUCGGGUNGUAAAGGACUUUUGUCAGGGAAGAAAAGCUUGAGAUUAAUACCCUUGAGUGAUGANCGUACCUAAGA
Molecule: ribosomal RNA, 486 nt
Filed under: Neisseria animaloris
Lineage: Bacteria; Pseudomonadati; Pseudomonadota; Betaproteobacteria; Neisseriales; Neisseriaceae
Description: bacterial SSU rRNA
Rfam family: Bacterial small subunit ribosomal RNA
Source: RNAcentral